AGGGCACCACUAGGAGUGGAGCCUGCGGCUUAAUUUGACUCAACACGGGAAAACUCACCCGGCCCGGACACUGGAAGGAUUGACAGAUUGAGAGCUCUUUCUUGAUUCAGUGGGUGGUGGUGCAUGGCCGUUCUUAGUUGGUGGAGCGAUUUGUCUGGUUAAUUCCGAUAACGAACGAGACUCUAGCCUACUAAAUAGAUCGUCGGCUUACAAACGCUGAUGAGACUUCUUAGAGGGGCAGGGGGCGAUUCAGCCGCACGAAACAGAGCAAUAACAGGUCUGUGAUGCCCUUAGAUGUCCGGGGCCGCACGCGCGCUACACUGAAGUGAUCAGCGUGCAUUUUCAGCCUACUCUGCCAAGAGAGGGAAACCCAAUGAACCUUCUUCGUGAUUGGGAUAGGAGAUUGUAAUUAUCCUCCUUGAACGAGGAAUUCCCAGUAAGCGCGAGUCAUAAGCUCGCGUUGAUUACGUCCCUGCCCUUUGUACACACCGCCCGUCGCUACUACCGAUUGAAUGUUUU
RNAcentral lists this ribosomal RNA (519 nucleotides) under uncultured eukaryote. RNAcentral describes it as "SSU rRNA". It matches the Rfam family "Eukaryotic small subunit ribosomal RNA", at positions 1161 to 1699 of the family's 1831-position model. The record is from RNAcentral.